Hydra vulgaris (swiftwater hydra) is the source of this 378-nucleotide non-coding RNA. Lineage: Eukaryota; Metazoa; Cnidaria; Hydrozoa; Anthoathecata; Hydridae. The record is from RefSeq and is a predicted model, not a curated record.
UGCAUUUAUUUUAAUGGGUAUAUUUAUUUAAGCUAGUUGCAGCAAAGUUUACAUAUAACUUGUUUAUAUACUUUUAUGAUUGACUAUUUUAGACACGUGGCAUGCAAUAUCACUCUGCAAGUUAUAAAAUCAGUUGCAUCAGUUGUAUAAUAAAUCAAUUGCAUUAGUUGUUUAAUAAAUCAGUUGCAAAAUGUUUACUUGCACUUUUUUUUCAUGGACACGUGUCAUGCUGUAUCAAACUAACUUGCUACUUUAGACAUAUGGCAUUCAGGCAUAAGGUAUCAAAUUUAAAUUCUAAUAUUAUUACCAGUAACGUGUUUAUUCUUGUUAUAUAAAAAGGGUAGUUACUUUUUUUUAAAUUUAAAUUCUAAUAUUAAU